RNAcentral lists this ribosomal RNA (407 nucleotides) under uncultured bacterium. Its description in RNAcentral is "partial 16S ribosomal RNA". It matches the Rfam family "Bacterial small subunit ribosomal RNA", at positions 28 to 526 of the family's 1533-position model. The record is from RNAcentral.
AGCGAACGCUGGCGGCAUGCCUAACACAUGCAAGUGUGGCCCAGCGGCGGACGGGUGAGUAUCGCGUAGGAACGUGUCCUGAGGUGGGGAACAACCCUGGGAAACUGGGGCUAAUGCCGCCUGCCUUGGGAGCGGCCUGCGUCCGAUUAGCUUGUUGGUGGGGUAAUGGCCUACCAAGGCUUCGAUCGGUAGCUGGUCUGAGAGGACGAUCAGCCACACUGGGACUGAGACACGGCCCAGACUCCUACGGGAGGCAGCAGUGGGGAAGAUUGGGCAAUGGGCGCAAGCCUGACCCAGCAAUGCCGCGUGGGUGAAGAAGGUCUUCGGAUUGUAAAGCCCGUUCGGCGGGGACGCGGUACCCGCAGAAGAAGCCCCGGCUAACUUCGUGCCAGCAGCCGCGGUAAUUC